This 206-nucleotide ribosomal RNA is filed under the name uncultured bacterium. RNAcentral describes it as "partial 16S ribosomal RNA". It matches the Rfam family "Bacterial small subunit ribosomal RNA", at positions 568 to 774 of the family's 1533-position model. The record is from RNAcentral.
CGCGCAGGCGGUCGAUCAAGUCGAGUGUGAAAGCCCCCGGCUCAACUGGGGAGGGUCAUUCGAUACUGAUCGACUCGAAGGCAGGAGAGGGUAGUGGAAUUCCCGGUGUAGUGGUGAAAUGCGUAGAUAUCGGGAGGAACACCAGUGGCGAAGGCGACUACCUGGCCUGUUCUUGACGCUGAGGCGCGAAAGCUAGGGAGCAAACG